Molecule: long non-coding RNA, 626 nt
Filed under: Zonotrichia albicollis (white-throated sparrow)
Lineage: Eukaryota; Metazoa; Chordata; Aves; Passeriformes; Passerellidae
Description: lncRNA (ENSZALG00000003917.1)
Source: RNAcentral
GAAUUGCCUUUUUUGGUCUUCCAGGGUACCCAUUUUAUAAAUUACUGUUGAAAAUGGAGUUGAUCUUGUCUUAUAUCUAAUUUUCUUACAUAAGAUAAUUAUUCACUGCUCUUUCUUCUAGACAUGUUCCCAGGCACUUGGCAAUCUUAUGAGUUUCUAACCUGGAGCUGUCUCUCCCUGACUCUGAUAGUUCAUUGGGAAUCAAUGGAGUAUUUUCCCCUUUGCUAGAGCACGGAUUUCCAGAAAAUGAAACCAUUGGUAUGCUAAAGAAGAGUUCCCACAUUCCAGAAGCAGUGAGGACUAUUCCUCUUUCCUAUAGGGAAUGAAGCCCACGAUGCCUUCACCUGUGCUUCCAAGCAGAAGGUGCUGCCUGGGGACUGUGCUGUGGCUCUGAUGUUGGGGGACUCUGCACUGAGGGACAGAAAGUGGGAUCCAUCUCUGCUGGGCAGCAUAACAUUAAAUGUUUAUUCUGGAUCCAUCAGAAUUAAAACUUGCACAGAUCUGUCUGGCUUGACCUCAUCUCACAUGGAAGAGCUCCACGUGGGCUGAACUUUAGUCUGUUUGUGACAAAACUGACAUUUCAUGGACAGUUCUCAGCUGUCUCCAUGGCACACUUGUCUGUUAUG